GUCUCAGGCCGUAUCAGCCUGAAGGCGCCCGAUCUCGUCUGAUCUCGGAAGCUAAGCAGGGUCGGGCCUGGUUAGUAUCUUGGGAUGGGAGACCACCUGGGAAUCCCGGGUGCUCGAGGCU
Molecule: ribosomal RNA, 121 nt
Filed under: Bison bison bison
Lineage: Eukaryota; Metazoa; Chordata; Mammalia; Artiodactyla; Bovidae
Source: RNAcentral